RNAcentral lists this ribosomal RNA (406 nucleotides) under uncultured bacterium. RNAcentral describes it as "partial 16S ribosomal RNA". It matches the Rfam family "Bacterial small subunit ribosomal RNA", at positions 30 to 526 of the family's 1533-position model. The record is from RNAcentral.
AUUGAACGCUGGCGGCAGGCCUAACACAUGCAAGUCGAACGAGUGGCGGACGGGUGCGUAAUGUCUGGGAAACUGCCCGAUGGAGGGGGAUAACUACUGGAAACGGUCGCUAAUACCGCAUACCAUCGGAUGUGCCCAGAGUGGAUUAGCUAGUAGGUGGGGUAACGGUUCACCUAGGCGACGAUCCCUAGCUGGUCUGAUAGGAUGACCAACGACAAUGGAACUGAGAAACGGUCCAGACUCCUACGGGAGGCGGCAGUGGGGAAUAUUGCACAAGGGGCGCAAGCCUGGUGCAGCCAGGCCGCGGGUAUGAAGAAGGCCUUCGGGUUGUAAAGUACUUGAAGCGAGAAGGCGUUACUAGCGGAAGAAAGACCGGCUAACUCCGUGCCAGCAGCAGCGGUAAUUC